GACGAACGCUGGCGGCGUGCUUAACACAUGCAAGUCGAACGGUAAGGCUCCAGCUUGCUGGGGUACACGAGUGGCGAACGGGUGAGUAACACGUGGGUGACCUGCCCUGCACUUCGGGAUAAGCCUGGGAAACUGGGUCUAAUACCGGAUAGGACCGCACCGUGAGGGUGUGGUGGAAAGUUUUUUCGGUGUGGGAUGGGCCCGCGGCCUAUCAGCUUGUUGGUGGGGUAAUGGCCUACCAAGGCGGCGACGGGUAGCCGGCCUGAGAGGGUGGACGGCCACAUUGGGACUGAGACACGGCCCAGACUCCUACGGGAGGCAGCAGUGGGGAAUAUUGCACAAUGGGCGGAAGCCUGAUGCAGCGACGCCGCGUGGGGGAUGACGGCCUUCGGGUUGUAAACUCCUUUCACCAUCGACGAAGGGUUUCUGACGGUAGAUGGAGAAGAAGCACCGGCUAACUACGUGCCAGCAGCCGCGGUAAUACGUAGGGUGCGAGCGUUGUCCGGAAUUACUGGGCGUAAAGAGCUCGUAGGUGGUUUGUCGCGUCGUCUGUGAAAUUCCGGGGCUUAACUCCGGGCGUGCAGGCGAUACGGGCAUAACUUGAGUACUGUAGGGGAGACUGGAAUUCCUGGUGUAGCGGUGAAAUGCGCAGAUAUCAGGAGGAACACCGGUGGCGAAGGCGGGUCUCUGGGCAGUAACUGACGCUGAGGAGCGAAAGCAUGGGGAGCGAACAGGAUUAGAUACCCUGGUAGUCCAUGCCGUAAACGGUGGGCGCUAGGUGUGGGUUUCCUUCCACGGGAUCCGUGCCGUAGCUAACGCAUUAAGCGCCCCGCCUGGGGAGUACGGCCGCAAGGCUAAAACUCAAAGGAAUUGACGGGGGCCCGCACAAGCGGCGGAGCAUGUGGAUUAAUUCGAUGCAACGCGAAGAACCUUACCUGGGCUUGACAUAUACAGGAUCGCGCCAGAGAUGGUGUUUCCCUUGUGGCUUGUAUACAGGUGGUGCAUGGUUGUCGUCAGCUCGUGUCGUGAGAUGUUGGGUUAAGUCCCGCAACGAGCGCAACCCUUGUCUUAUGUUGCCAGCACGUUGUGGUGGGGACUCGUAAGAAACUGCCGGGGUUAACUCGGAGGAAGGUGGGGGUGACGUCAAAUCAUCAUGCCCCUUAUGUCCAGGGCUUCACACAUGCUACAAUGGUCGGUACAGUGGGUUGCCAGUCCGUGAGGGCGAGCUAAUCCCGCAAAGCCGGUCUCAGUUCGGAUCGGGGUCUGCAACUCGACCCCGUGAAGUCGGAGUCGCUAGUAAUCGCAGAUCAGCAACGCUGCGGUGAAUACAAUCCCGGGCCU
RNAcentral lists this ribosomal RNA (1341 nucleotides) under uncultured bacterium. Its description in RNAcentral is "partial 16S ribosomal RNA". It matches the Rfam family "Bacterial small subunit ribosomal RNA", at positions 28 to 1381 of the family's 1533-position model. The record is from RNAcentral.